This 864-nucleotide ribosomal RNA is filed under the name uncultured bacterium. RNAcentral describes it as "bacterial SSU rRNA". It matches the Rfam family "Bacterial small subunit ribosomal RNA", at positions 25 to 901 of the family's 1533-position model. The record is from RNAcentral.
CAGGACGAACGCGGGCGGCGUGCCUAACACAUGCAAGUCACGGGGGCCCGCAAGGGCAACCGGCGAACGGGUGCGUAACACGUGAGCAAUCUGCCGAUUUCUGGGGGAUAGCCGGUCCAACGACCGGGUAAUACCGCAUACGCUCAUUGGGGGACAUCCCCUGAUGAGGAAACCUCCGGGGGAAAUCGAGGAGCUCGCGGCCUAUCAGCUAGUUGGUGAGGUAACGGCUCACCAAGGCGACGACGGGUAGCUGGUCUGAGAGGAUGGCCAGCCACAUUGGGACUGCGACACGGCCCAGACUCCUACGGGAGGCAGCAGUGGGGGAUAUUGCGCAAUGGACGAAAGUCUGACGCAGCGACGCCGCGUGUGGGAUGAAGCUUUUCGGAGUGUAAACCACUGUUGCCCGGGACGAACAUCCCCUUUCGAGGGGACUGACGGUACCGGGUGAGGAAGCACCGGCUAACUCUGUGCCAGCAGCCGCGGUAAUACAGAGGGUGCGAGCGUUGUCCGGAAUCACUGGGCGUAAAGGGCGCGUAGGUGGCUUGGUAAGCGUGUGGUGAAAGCUCGGGGCUCAACCCCGAGUCGGCCAUGCGAACUGCCGAGCUUGAGCAUGGUAGAGGCAGGUGGAAUUCCGGGUGUAGCGGUGGAAUGCGUAGAUAUCCGGAAGAACACCGGUGGCGAAGGCGGCCUGCUGGGCAUUGCUGACACUGAGGCGCGACAGCGUGGGGAGCAAACAGGAUUAGAUACCCUGGUAGUCCACGCCGUAAACGAUGGGCACUAGGUGCUUGGGGGAGCGACCCCCUGAGUGCCGUCGCUAACGCAUGAAGUGCCCCGCCUGGGGAGUACGGCCCGCAGGCUGAAACU